AUGCCGAAGUCCAAGCAAUUCAAGGAAUUGGAUUUCUUUCAUGCCUUACUUUCAAAGGUUGGGUUCUCUCUGGGCGGUCGAGCCCUAUCCUUUGCUCUAAGAGGGUUGGGCUGCUCAGCAGGGCUUGCCUUGACUGUAGACUUUACUUUACGAGCGCUGCUCACAUACCAAAACCAUAUGAUGCCUCUCGGCGAGGGGACAUCAGGCUCUGAGUCUCCGGCAUCUCAGUCGGACUCCCCAUGCCUCCUCGGAAACGGAUUCGGACGGAUCUCCACCACAAUCCGUCUCGUCCCCUGGGAGCGUCACCGCUGCGGAGGUAGAAAGUCACACGCGGGAUGA
RNAcentral lists this long non-coding RNA (339 nucleotides) under Vicia faba (fava bean). The record is from RNAcentral. Lineage: Eukaryota; Viridiplantae; Streptophyta; Magnoliopsida; Fabales; Fabaceae.